RNAcentral lists this transfer RNA (71 nucleotides) under Ornithorhynchus anatinus (platypus). It matches the Rfam family "tRNA". From Rfam's summary of the family: Transfer RNA (tRNA) molecules are approximately 80 nucleotides in length. Lineage: Eukaryota; Metazoa; Chordata; Mammalia; Monotremata; Ornithorhynchidae. The record is from Rfam by way of RNAcentral.
AGCAGUGUGGCUUAGUGGAAAGAGCACGGGUUUGGGAUCAGAAACCAUGGGUUCUAAUCCCAGCUCUGCCU